GGAGAGAUGGCUCAGUGGUUAAGAGCACUGGCUGCUCUUCCAGAGGACCUGGGUUCAAUUCCCAGCACACCA
RNAcentral lists this transfer RNA (72 nucleotides) under Neotoma lepida (desert woodrat). It matches the Rfam family "tRNA". Rfam says of the family: Transfer RNA (tRNA) molecules are approximately 80 nucleotides in length. Their secondary structure includes four short double-helical elements and three loops (D, anti-codon, and T loops). Further hydrogen bonds mediate the characteristic L-shaped molecular structure. tRNAs have two regions of fundamental functional importance: the anti-codon, which is responsible for specific mRNA codon recognition, and the 3' end, to which the tRNAs corresponding amino acid is attached (by aminoacyl-tRNA synthetases). tRNAs cope with the degeneracy of the genetic code in two manners: having more than one tRNA (with a specific anti-codon) for a particular amino acid; and 'wobble' base-pairing, i.e. permitting non-standard base-pairing at the 3rd anti-codon position. The record is from Rfam by way of RNAcentral. Lineage: Eukaryota; Metazoa; Chordata; Mammalia; Rodentia; Cricetidae.